AUUGAACGCUGGCGGCAUGCUUUACACAUGCAAGUCGAACGGUAACAGGCCGCAAGGUGCUGACGAGUGGCGAACGGGUGCGUAAUGCAUCGGAACGUGCCCAGUCGUGGGGGAUAACUACUCGAAAGAGUAGCUAAUACCGCAUACGAUCUAUGGAUGAAAGCGGGGGACCGUAAGGCCUCGCGCGAUUGGAGCGGCCGAUGUCAGAUUAGGUAGUUGGUGGGGUAUAGGCUCACCAAGCCAACGAUCUGUAGCUGGUCUGAGAGGACGACCAGCCACACUGGGACUGAGACACGGCCCAGACUCCUACGGGAGGCAGCAGUGGGGAAUUUUGGACAAUGGGCGCAAGCCUGAUCCAGCAAUGCCGCGUGCAGGAAGAAGGCCUUCGGGUUGUAAACUGCUUUUGUACGGAACGAAACGGCUCUGGUUAAUACCCGGGGCUAAUGACGGUACCGUAAGAAUAAGCACCGGCUAACUACGUG
RNAcentral lists this ribosomal RNA (482 nucleotides) under uncultured bacterium. RNAcentral's name for it is "partial 16S ribosomal RNA". It matches the Rfam family "Bacterial small subunit ribosomal RNA", at positions 30 to 507 of the family's 1533-position model. The record is from RNAcentral.